GACGAACGCUGGCGGCGUGCUUAACACAUGCAAGUCGAACGGAAAGGCCCUGCUUGCAGGGUACUCGAGUGGCGAACGGGUGAGUAACACGUGGGUGAUCUGCCCUGCACUUCGGGAUAAGCCUGGGAAACUGGGUCUAAUACCGGAUAGGAGCCAUUUUUAGUGUGAUGGUUGGAAAGUUUUUUCGGUGUAGGAUGAGCUCGCGGCCUAUCAGCUUGUUGGUGGGGUAAUGGCCUACCAAGGCGGCGACGGGUAGCCGGCCUGAGAGGGUGGACGGCCACAUUGGGACUGAGAUACGGCCCAGACUCCUACGGGAGGCAGCAGUGGGGAAUACUGCACAAUGGGAGCAAGCCUGAUGCAGCGACGCCGCGUGGGGGAUGACGGCCUUCGGGUUGUAAACUCCUUUAGCUAGGGACGAAGCUUUUUGUGACGGUACCUAGAUAAGAAGCACCGGCUAACUACGUG
This 465-nucleotide ribosomal RNA is filed under the name uncultured bacterium. RNAcentral describes it as "partial 16S ribosomal RNA". It matches the Rfam family "Bacterial small subunit ribosomal RNA", at positions 28 to 507 of the family's 1533-position model. The record is from RNAcentral.